Non-coding RNA from Gossypium hirsutum (cotton), 107 nucleotides. Lineage: Eukaryota; Viridiplantae; Streptophyta; Magnoliopsida; Malvales; Malvaceae. The record is from Rfam.
AACCCAUGGCGAGGGCACCUUCCCAAAAGGUCCUUGUAUCUCUUCUAUGCAUCGUAGAGUGUUUCAAAAUCCAUCUGCACAAAAGAAGAGAUACCAUUACGUAAUUU